UACGAAGGGGGCUAGCGUUGCUCGGAAUCACUGGGCGUAAAGGGCGCGUAGGCGGCUUUGUUAGUCAGGCGUGAAAUUCCUGGGCUCAACCUGGGGACUGCGCUUGAUACGGCAAGGCUAGGGUGUGGAAGAGGGUCGUGGAAUUCCCAGUGUAGAGGUGAAAUUCGUAGAUAUUGGGAAGAACACCGGUGGCGAAGGCGGCGACCUGGUCCAUUACUGACGCUGAGGCGCGACAGCGUGGGGAGCAAACAGG
RNAcentral lists this ribosomal RNA (253 nucleotides) under uncultured bacterium. Its description in RNAcentral is "partial 16S ribosomal RNA". It matches the Rfam family "Bacterial small subunit ribosomal RNA", at positions 524 to 776 of the family's 1533-position model. The record is from RNAcentral.